CCUACGGGUGGCAGCAGUGGGGAAUAUUGCACAAUGGGGGAAACCCUGAUGCAGCGACGCCGCGUGAGUGAAGAAGUAGGUCGGUAGGUAAAGCUCGAUCAGCAGGGAAGAAAAUGACGGUAACUGAUGAAGAAGCCUCGGCGAACGACGGGCCAGCAGCCGCGGUAAUACGUAGCGGGCAAGCGUUAUCCGGAUUUACUGGGUGUAAAGGGAGCGUAGACGGCAGCACAAGUCUGGAGUGAAAUGCCGGGGCUUAACCCCGGAACUGCUUUGGAAACUGUGCAGCUAGAGUGCAGGAGAGGUAAGUGGAAUUCCUAGUGUAGCGGUGAAAUGCGUAGAUAUUAGGAGGAACACCAGUGGCGAAGGCGGCUUACUGGACUGUAACUGACGUUGAGGCUCGAAAGCGUGGGGAGCAAACAGGAUUAGAUACCCGGGUAGUC
Molecule: ribosomal RNA, 440 nt
Filed under: uncultured bacterium
Lineage: Bacteria
Description: partial 16S ribosomal RNA
Rfam family: Bacterial small subunit ribosomal RNA
Source: RNAcentral